Molecule: long non-coding RNA, 1110 nt
Organism: Paramormyrops kingsleyae
Lineage: Eukaryota; Metazoa; Chordata; Actinopteri; Osteoglossiformes; Mormyridae
Source: RefSeq, a predicted model, not a curated record
UCCGCAGCGCAGCCCCUACCAUUUGGAAAGCGCCAACCGGGAGAGCGAGUGGGGAUACCUAAGUGGUUAAUUAAGAGCUGUUGGGGCGCCCGGAGAGUCUCCUAAAAAAUCCUUCUGAUGUCUGCCGUGUCAAGUGUCUCUCUCAGGCAAAGCCACAUGAGGCAGCAGCCACGGCAGGCUAAUUACUGAGAAACCGGGAGCAGCUGAGAGUCAGUCUCUAAAUGAGGCUGCUCCUAGCUAGCGCACCCAAGUGUUUUCGUUUCAUCACGACGCCCAUUCCAACAAAGUAAACAAACAAACAGACGCGUAACAAAACGAAAUGGACGCAACGCCAAUAAGGGAGAGCGCCACUCAAAUAUUUUCUUAUUUAAUUCUCCGAAUUCCCAGCUGCCGUGUUGAAAUUUCGCUCGAAGGGGAAACCCUGCCAGAGCGAAGCGCGACAAUGAGCGAUCCGAGCUGCGGCAGCCGCAAAAUCCCAUGCUGAUGAUGAUGCAUCGGACCAUUGCAAGGCUCCCCCCCUCGCAUCCAGCCCCGCUGCCGAGCGAGGGUAGACUAAUGGUGGAAGAGAAACAAUGACGGUUUUAACAGCCGGAGCUGCCUACAGCAAAGCCGCUUUAGCGAGCAGCGACCGCAGCCGCAUCAGCGAUGACAGAAGACUGGCAGAGAAAACAGGCCAACAAUGUGGCUCAGAAGCUGACCCUCACAGGGCCUAACCAAACUGUCCGCUUUCCACGCCCUGGCUAGUGCCUACGUCCCCCGCUUGUGAUGUCACGGCUCAGCCGUCCUCCCUGACUGCCGCGAGGCUAAGAUUGACAGGUCACCUGUCAGGGAGCCUCUCCCAGCAGCUGCCUUUGGGUCCCUGCAUAUGAGAUCUUCGCGGGAUGGGAAUGGGGCACCGGUUUUAAAUUGGUGUAGUCCAGGGUGACAUUUCUCACAGUGGGUCGAUAACAAAAUGACAGUGUACGUACAAAUGUGAUUCACCAGACAAUCGGCUUGUGCUGCUACUUCUCCCGGCACAGUGUAUAUUUGACUGACAUACUUUCCUGGGAUUAUCAGCAAACAUGUUUCACUAUGAUGAGAAAUAAAAUAUAUACAUUAUGUACACAUCAA